This 432-nucleotide ribosomal RNA is filed under the name uncultured bacterium. RNAcentral describes it as "partial 16S ribosomal RNA". It matches the Rfam family "Bacterial small subunit ribosomal RNA", at positions 29 to 507 of the family's 1533-position model. The record is from RNAcentral.
GCGCACGCUGGCGGCAGGCCUCACCCAUGCAAGUCGCACGGAUCCUUCGGGAUUAGUGGCGGACGGGUGAGUAACACGUGGGAACGUGCCCUUUGGUUCGGAACAACUCAGGGAAACUUGAGCUAAUACCGGAUGUGCCCUUCGGGGGAAAGAUUUAUCGCCAUUGGAGCGGCCCGCGUCUGAUUAGCUAGUUGGUGAGGUAACGGCCCACCAAGGCGACGAUCAGUAGCUGGUCUGAGAGGAUGAUCAGCCACACUGGGACUGAGACACGGCCCAGACUCCUACGGGAGGCAGCAGUGGGGAAUCUUGCGCAAUGGGCGAAAGCCUGACGCAGCCAUGCCGCGUGAAUGAUGAAGGUCUUAGGAUUGUAAAAUUCUUUCAGCGGGGACGAUAAUGACGGUACCCGCAGAAGAAGCUCCGGCUAACUUCGUG